RNAcentral lists this long non-coding RNA (1021 nucleotides) under Olea europaea (common olive). RNAcentral's name for it is "long non-coding RNA (OEUR_LNC013797)". The record is from RNAcentral. Lineage: Eukaryota; Viridiplantae; Streptophyta; Magnoliopsida; Lamiales; Oleaceae.
UCUGCUAAAUUUUUCGAUGUCUGGUUUAAUGGUCAUACUGUUUUGCACUAUCGGCCCUACAUAUCUCUGGAUAUCCAAAUACUAUCUUUAGGCAUCUUACCAUAACAUACUCUGAUCUAAUGUACAGAUAAUUUAAAAGACGUUCUCAUUAAAAUAGUUAUGGGAUGCCCUUUAGGCUGGUAAUUUAUAACCACUUAUUGGCAGAAACUGUAAUAACUUGCGGUUAUUUUGCAAUCUGAAAGUAUCUCAGGAUUGAAAUAUAUGUUAGGUUCAACUGCAUUGAAAUAUUAAUGACAAAACUUUAAACGGAUGCUUUCUUUUUGAAUUUUAAAUUGUUAUCCAUAUCAAUUUUAAAUUUUUCGACCCACUAACAUUUUUAUACAGAUUCUAAUUUAAUCAUCAUUUUGCUACAACUCAAGCCCAAAGCAGAAUAUUGUUUGGUCUAUGCUUGUAUUAUGAUUGCUUGAAACUGAAAAUAUAUUAAGCCUGGACACUGGUUCUUCAUACUCUUGGAUUGUACUGUCCAGUCAUUUAAUGUGCAUUCUUUUGAUCUCAUGUUUAGAUUUACUUAGAAAUUUAGGAAAGAAGGGAAAUUUUUGGUUGAAAGCAGUUAAAACUUCUUAUUAAUAUAAAUUUCAUCUUCCUGAAACUCCAUACUGUGGAAGUCCUAAAUCUCAAAACUUCGGCCUGUAUAGAAAGUAUUACUUCAUUUAUUUCAUUCUUUCAUAUGUUGUAGUGUUUUGCCUUUGGGAGGUCAGGUUUAUGUUUCCUUUCCUCUUGUUCUCGUGAUUUUGAUUUUAUACAUGGUCAUUAGCCUUCCUUGGUGGAGCCUGAAAAUCCACUAGAGGCUGUGUUAAUAUUUUGCUUAAAAAAAUUUCAAAACAUGGGCAUAUUGUAGAAGUUAAACUGAGACGUGCAUGCCAUUGAAAGUCAUUGAUGGACCAUUUGUUUACAAACAUUCUCAAGGGGUGAUUGCAAACAAUAAGAAGAUGUAUUCUGAUACCUUAUGCAUCAUGUCGGA